AGCUUGUGAGAGCUGCUGCUGCUGGGGACGUUCCUUGACUCUGUCUGCCUGCCGUUUGCCCACCACACUGCCCUCUGGCUGCAUUUUAUUCUUCUGUUCUGCAUUAACAAAGUUGUGAUCAGGAUACAUGAAGUAAGAGUGGUAUGAUGAAAAGACCUACUGAAAUAACUUUCACUGGAGAAAGAUCUUCCAUUGAUCCAUAUCUGGCUAUCAACCAUCACCAAAGUAUUCAGGAGCCAAUCCCCAAGAUUGGGUCACAUGAAGAAAUGGAACCCAGCUGAAGGAGUGGGCGGUGAAGCUGGCUUUGGUUUAGCCUGCACUCCAGUGGAACAUCCCUUUGCUGUCUCUCAGUGAAUGACUCCCAUUAACUCCCAUUGGGAAAAGAAUGUCUGUCUUUGUUGGGGUCAAGACUGCAGCUGGUGUAAAACCUGACAACUGCCUUGAAAAUAAUCCAGAUAUUAAAAGAUCUAGAGUUGAUUUCUCCUAAAGCAAAAUGUGAAAUGAAUUUGGUGUCUCCAUCUGAAAACCUUUAGCGAAAGCUGAAAGUAUUUGCAUAAGAAGAGCAAAGUUCUCAAGGAGGGUUUUCUGGUUCUUUAAAUUGACACUGCAUUUCAUCUACAGUGUAAUCUGAAGUAAAUUAGGAGCUUUCUCCUCAAUGAAAUAUUCAUGGAAUUUUGAAGGAAAUAAAAAAAGUUCAAAAAUA
Hemicordylus capensis (graceful crag lizard) is the source of this 703-nucleotide long non-coding RNA. RefSeq lists it as uncharacterized. The transcript is spliced from 3 exons. Lineage: Eukaryota; Metazoa; Chordata; Lepidosauria; Squamata; Cordylidae. The record is from RefSeq and is a predicted model, not a curated record.